This 253-nucleotide ribosomal RNA is filed under the name uncultured bacterium. RNAcentral's name for it is "partial 16S ribosomal RNA". It matches the Rfam family "Bacterial small subunit ribosomal RNA", at positions 524 to 776 of the family's 1533-position model. The record is from RNAcentral.
UACGGAGGGUGCAAGCAUUAAUCGGAUUUAUUGGGCGUAAAGGGCGCGUAGGCGGCUUUACAAGUCAGAUGUGAAAUUCCAGGGCUCAACCCUGGAGCGGCAUUUGAAACUGUAAGGCUAGAGGAUAGGAGGAGAAAACGGAAUUCCACAAGUAGCGGUGAAAUGCGUAGAUAUGUGGAAGAACACCGGUGGCGAAGGCGGUUUUCUAUCUUAUUCCUGACGCUGAGGCGCGAAAGCAAGGGGAUCAAACAGG